GAGCGUUACAACUACUCACCUAAUAGAGUAGCCGCAACAUCUCUCCCCCUUUCCUCUUCCUUCUACCCCCUUUCCCCUUCUGCAACCGUAAUGGCCAUCCGGACAGAUGACCUAAAAGAGCACCGGCAACUGCCACACCGAUCUGGAUGGAUGAGAAGGUAUGGCUUACCGAUCUGGAUGGAUAAGAAGAAUUUGCAGGAACAUGCACGAAUUGAAAUGCUUUCGGUCUUUGCUGAAGGAUGAUAGUAGGAGUGAUGGUGGAAACGAUGAGCGGAUACAUACAUAUAAACUAUACUUUCUCAUAAUUUAAUUUGCAUGUUGUUUGUGAGCCAAUUAAGAUGAAGCAACGUCGAAUUUUAUUUCGAUUGUGAUUUAAACAUAUAAAUAAAGGAGAAAA
Long non-coding RNA from Sesamum indicum (sesame), 397 nucleotides. RefSeq lists it as uncharacterized. The record is from RefSeq and is a predicted model, not a curated record. NCBI's taxonomy places the organism in Eukaryota, Viridiplantae, Streptophyta, Magnoliopsida, Lamiales, Pedaliaceae.